This 25-nucleotide unclassified non-coding RNA is filed under the name Dictyostelium discoideum. Lineage: Eukaryota; Evosea; Eumycetozoa; Dictyosteliales; Dictyosteliaceae. The record is from RNAcentral.
UUUAGGAUGGGCAACUGGUUUGAAG